RNAcentral lists this ribosomal RNA (484 nucleotides) under uncultured bacterium. RNAcentral's name for it is "partial 16S ribosomal RNA". It matches the Rfam family "Bacterial small subunit ribosomal RNA", at positions 29 to 507 of the family's 1533-position model. The record is from RNAcentral.
AUUGAACGCUGGCGGCAUGCUUUACACAUGCAAGUCGAACGGCAGCGCGGGCUUCGGCCUGGCGGCGAGUGGCGAACGGGUGAGUAAUGCAUCGGAACGUGCCCAGUAGUGGGGGAUAGCCCGGCGAAAGCCGGAUUAAUACCGCAUACGACCUGAGGGUGAAAGCGGGGGACCGAAAGGCCUCGCGCUAUUGGAGCGGCCGAUGUCGGAUUAGCUAGUUGGUGGGGUAAAGGCUUACCAAGGCGACGAUCCGUAGCUGGUCUGAGAGGACGACCAGCCACACUGGGACUGAGACACGGCCCAGACUCCUACGGGAGGCAGCAGUGGAGAAUUUUGGACAAUGGGGGCAACCCUGAUCCAGCCAUGCCGCGUGCGGGAAGAAGGCCUUCGGGUUGUAAACCGCUUUUGUUCGGGAAGAAAUCCUCUGGGCUAAUACCCCGGGGGGAUGACGGUACCGGAAGAAUAAGCACCGGCUAACUACGUG